GCAGCUCAAUGGUAGAGCAUCUGAUUUGCAUGCAGAAGGUCCCAAGUUCUAUCCUCAGCAUCUACA
Molecule: non-coding RNA, 66 nt
Organism: Podarcis lilfordi (Lilford's wall lizard)
Lineage: Eukaryota; Metazoa; Chordata; Lepidosauria; Squamata; Lacertidae
Source: the annotation of a GenBank genome assembly